CCGAGAACCGGUGCCCUCGUGGCGCCGACCCUCAAACCACCGUGUACCGAACUUUAACGUUGCCUCGGCGGGCCGGGCCCUCGUGGCCCCCCUCCCCCUCGCGGGGUGCUGGGAGCCGCCCGCCGCAGGACCAAACAAGACCGUUUUGUAUGACGAACGUCUGAUAUUCUUCUUCGCGAAUGCGAUAAAGUA
Molecule: unclassified non-coding RNA, 192 nt
Filed under: uncultured Ascomycota
Lineage: Eukaryota; Fungi; Ascomycota
Description: sequence contains ITS1
Source: RNAcentral